Molecule: ribosomal RNA, 251 nt
Filed under: Bacillus sp. ISL-75
Lineage: Bacteria; Bacillati; Bacillota; Bacilli; Caryophanales; Bacillaceae
Description: partial 16S ribosomal RNA
Rfam family: Bacterial small subunit ribosomal RNA
Source: RNAcentral
UUCUUGGAGAGUUUGAUCCUGGCUCAGGACGAACGCUGGCGGCGUGCCUAAUACAUGCAAGUCGAGCGAACCAACAGGAGCUUGCUCCUGUUGGUUAGCGGCGGACGGGUGAGUAACACGUGGGCAACCUGCCUGUAAGACUGGGAUAACACCGGGAAACCGGUGCUAAUACCGGAUAAUCCUUUUCCUCUCAUGAGGAAAAGCUGAAAGUCGGUUUCGGCUGACACUUACAGAUGGGCCCGCGGCGCAUU